This 594-nucleotide ribosomal RNA is filed under the name Fusarium solani. RNAcentral describes it as "partial 5.8S ribosomal RNA". Lineage: Eukaryota; Fungi; Ascomycota; Sordariomycetes; Hypocreales; Nectriaceae. The record is from RNAcentral.
AUAGAAUAGAGAAGAUUCGUUGGUUGGGCGGCGGGAGGUAUAAAAAUAAUAGGAGGAGUAAUUUUUUUCUCCUCCUCCGGACCAACCCCCCCCAACAACCCCCUCACUCUUUUUCUAUAAUGUUUCCUCUCACUAAAACACGCCACUAAUUUAAAACUUUCAACAACAGAAUCCCUUGCCUCUCUCAUCGCUCUCCACCGCUGCAAAGUGCCAGAAAAAGUGGGACUCUCCAAAAAUCACCCAAAUCUUCUUCCCCUUGCACCUCACCCUCCCCCCCCCCUUAUUCUAUCCGCCUAUCCUGUUCCAGCGUCUUUGGGCACCGGACACGCCCCCAGGGCUGCCAAUUUUUAACGGCCCACUCCACAAGCCAAAAAUGCUCCCACCCCCUCUUCUAAACAUCCUGCUGAACGAGCACCACCGUCAUCGCGUAUAAGCACGCCCACCGAUAUUCCUCCGCACACCUCGGCCACAGUUGAAAAAAUCAUUUUCUAUCUGGUUCUUUAGCUCAAGUAUUGGUAUAAAAAACACGCGUCAAAAAAAUAACAUAUAUAUAAAAUCUUAACGAUAAACAAAAUAAAUAUAUAACAAUUAAUC